GCGCUGCACUUCCUUUCACGGGUACUUCAGCCUCGGAGACCUUUCACUGGGCACCAAUUGCAUGACACCCGCUUCCCUGCUCGCCUUGAAUUGGCAAAGCGGCAGCAGCAGCAAAUGACGGGGGGGGGGGGAAGAGGAGCACCAAGGAGCAGCAGCUUCUCUCUCCCCCUCUUCCUCUCCAGCUACCGCAACCCCCCCUCCAGCCGAAGCCAAGCGAUAGGAAGCGCGCCCAGGGGCAGCGAGCGGAGGCUCGAGCUGGCGGGUCACUGAGCGCUCUGGGCCGGCAGCCGCAGACAGAAGCGGAACACCUGGCUGGGCUGGGACUCGGCCGGCUUCCCCCUCCCCGCCAGGAGCGGAUGGUCUCGCAUUACUGCAGUGUGCGCGCCCCCUCCAGCAGCGGCGGCGGCGGCUCUCCGAAGAGCCCUCCUUGGCGAGGCAGGUGCGGAGGAGACGGAGCGGGGGCUCCCUGCCCUAGCGCCUCUCCCCUCGCAGCAGCAGCAGCGUCCCGCCGCCGAGCGCCGCUGGCUGCACCGCUGGAGCAAUGGCCAGGCAGAGCAACAAGGCGCCGCUGUCACACUCCGCUUCCCUCCUCAGCGGGAACAGACCACUCCAAGCCCCCAGCCAGAGCGCGGGGGCGGGUCUCUGGCUGCUCCUGCCGCCCACCGCAGGACCAGUCCGCCAGCUUGGGCUGGGGGCUGUCCCCCGCUGCAGAUACCUUCGCCCGCCUUCCUGGAAGCCCGGCCCUACAAAGCUCUGGAUGUGAAUGACUGAAAAUACGUUUGGGAGCAAUGGCUAUGGCAGAUGAUGACUGAUGCAACUGUCCUGCCCGGACAAAGAUUUCGCUGCAUCAACCAUUAGUUCAGGUAUGUGUCUGAGGCAGCCAUCCUCAGUUGUUAGACAGGGAGUGCAAUGACUCCCAUCCCUUCCCCAACACUGGGGUUAAUGUCACAGCAGCAAGGGAAUGAGUGACAUGCCUUUCUCGUUUUACUCAUCCACGAGUGCCGUGUUGGCCACUCAAUCAAAUCAAACAAUCAUCAAUAUGCCUCAAUCUUCUACCCAGUAAUUUGGUUUCCUGGAUUAACACCACACUCAUAAA
This 1096-nucleotide long non-coding RNA is filed under the name Chrysemys picta bellii (western painted turtle). Its description in RNAcentral is "lncRNA (ENSCPBG00000010164.1)". The record is from RNAcentral. Lineage: Eukaryota; Metazoa; Chordata; Testudines; Emydidae.